CCUACGGGAGGCAGCAGUGGGGAAUAUUGCACAAUGGGGGAAACCCUGAUGCAGCGACGCCGCGUGAGUGAUGAAGGAUCUCGGUAUUUAAAGCUCUAUUAGUAGGGGAGAAAAUGACGGUACCUGAUUAAGAAGCCCCGUCUAACUACGUUCCAGCUGCCGCGGUAAUACGUAGGGGGCAAGCGUUAUCCGGAUUUACUGGGCGUAAGGGGAGCGUAGACGGCGGGACAAGUCCGGAGUGAAAUGCCGGGGCUUAACCCCGGAACUGCGUUGGAAACUGGGCAGCUAGAGUGCAGGAGAGGUAGGUGGAAUUCUUGGUGUAGGGGUAAAAUCCGUAGAGAUCAAGAGGAAUACUGAUUGCGAAGGCGACAUGCUAGAACAUAACUGACGCUGAUGCGCGAAAGCGUGGGGAGCAAACAGGAUUAGAUACCCCGGUAGUC
Molecule: ribosomal RNA, 440 nt
Filed under: uncultured bacterium
Lineage: Bacteria
Description: partial 16S ribosomal RNA
Rfam family: Bacterial small subunit ribosomal RNA
Source: RNAcentral